UGCAGUGGAGAAAACCUGAUGGAGCAUGGU
This 30-nucleotide non-coding RNA is filed under the name Homo sapiens (human). Lineage: Eukaryota; Metazoa; Chordata; Mammalia; Primates; Hominidae. The record is from RNAcentral.